GAUGAACGCUGGCGGCGUGCCUAAUACAUGCAAGUCGAGCGAACAGACGAGGAGCUUGCUCCUCUGACGUUAGCGGCGGACGGGUGAGUAACACGUGGAUAACCUCCCUAUAAGACUGGGAUAACUUCGGGAAACCGGAGCUAAUACCGGAUAAUCUAUUGCACCGUAUGGUUCAUUAGUGAAAGACGGUUUUGCUGUCACUAAUAGAUGCAUCCGGGCCGCAUUAGCUAGUUGGGAAGUUAACGGCUUACCAAGGCAACGAGGCGUACCCGACCUGGGAGGGUGAUCGGCGACACGAGAGGUGAGACACGUACAAGGCUCCUGCGGGAGGCAGCAGUAGGGAAUCUGCCGCAAUGGGCGAGAGCCUGGCGGAGCAAGGCCGCGUGAGUGAUGAAGGUCUUCGGAUCGUAAAACUCUGUUAUUAGGGAAGAACAGAUGUGUAAGUAACUAUGCACGUCUUGACGGUACCUAAUCAGAAAGCCACGGCUAACUACGUG
RNAcentral lists this ribosomal RNA (497 nucleotides) under uncultured bacterium. Its description in RNAcentral is "partial 16S ribosomal RNA". It matches the Rfam family "Bacterial small subunit ribosomal RNA", at positions 28 to 507 of the family's 1533-position model. The record is from RNAcentral.